AACCUCCGCAAUGUGAGAAAUCGCGACGGGGGGAUCCCAAGUGCCAUUCUUAACGGGAUGGCUUUUCAUUAGUGUAAAGAGCUUUUGGAAUAAGGGCUGGGCAAGACCGGUGCCAGCCGCCGCGGUAACACCGGCAGCUCUAGUGGUAGCAGUUUUUAUUGGGCCUAAAGCGUCCGUAGCCGGUUUAAUAAGUCUCUGGUGAAAUCCUGCAGCUUAACUGUGGGAAUUGCUGGAGAUACUAUUAGACUUGAGACCGGGAGAGGUUAGAGGUACUCCCAGGGUAGAGGUGAAAUUCUGUAAUCCUGGGAGGACCGCCUGUUGCGAAGGCGUCUAACUGGAACGGUUCUGACGGUGAGGGACGAAAGUUAGGGGCGCGAACCGGAUUAGAUACCCGGGUAGUCCUAACUGUAAACGAUGCGGACUUGGUGUUGGGGUGGCUUUGAGCUGCUUCAGUGCCGAAGGGAAGCUGUUAAGUCCGCCGCCUGGGAAGUACGGUCGCAAGACUGAAACUUAAAGGAAUU
Molecule: ribosomal RNA, 521 nt
Filed under: uncultured bacterium
Lineage: Bacteria
Description: bacterial SSU rRNA
Rfam family: Archaeal small subunit ribosomal RNA
Source: RNAcentral